CGCGAGGCAGAGCAAACCCCUAAAAGCCGUCUCAGUUCGGAUUGCAGGCUGCAACUCGCCUGCAUGAAGUCGGAAUUGCUAGUAAUCGCGGAUCAGCAUGCCGCGGUGAAUACGUUCCCGGGCCUUGUACACACCGCCCGUCACACCAUGAGAGCCGGUAACCACCCGAAGUCAAUAGUCUAACCGCAAGGAGGACAUUGCCGAAGGUGGGAUUGGUAAUUGGGGUGAAGUCGUAACAAGGUAUC
This 245-nucleotide ribosomal RNA is filed under the name uncultured bacterium. RNAcentral's name for it is "partial 16S ribosomal RNA". It matches the Rfam family "Bacterial small subunit ribosomal RNA", at positions 1256 to 1500 of the family's 1533-position model. The record is from RNAcentral.